GUGGCGACCGGGUGAGUAACACGUGACUAACCUACCUUUGAGUGGGGAAUAACUUCGGGAAACCGAGGCUAAUACCGCAUAACACCGAGAGGUCAAAGGAGUAAUCCGCUUAAAGAGGGGGUCGCGGCUGAUUAGCUAGUUGGUAGGGUAAUGGCCUACCAAGGCUAUGAUCAGUAUCCGGCCUGAGAGGGCGCACGGACACACUGGAACUGAAACACGGUCCAGACUCCUACGGGAGGCAGCAGUGGGGAAUUUUGCACAAUGGGGGAAACCCUGAUGCAGCAGCGCCGCGUGGAGGAUGAAGCCCCUUGGGGCGUAAACUCCUUUCGAUCGGGACGAUUAUGACGGUACCGGAAGAAGAAGCACCGGCUAACUCUGUGCCAGCAGCCGCGGUAAUACAGAGGGUGCAAGCGUUGUUCGGAAUUAUUGGGCGUAAAGGGCGCGUAGGCGGUGCGGUAAGUCUUUUGUGAAAUCUCCGGGCUCAACUCGGAGUCUGCAGGAGAAACUGCCGUGCUUGAGUAUGGGAGAGGUGAGUG
This 536-nucleotide ribosomal RNA is filed under the name uncultured bacterium. Its description in RNAcentral is "bacterial SSU rRNA". It matches the Rfam family "Bacterial small subunit ribosomal RNA", at positions 95 to 663 of the family's 1533-position model. The record is from RNAcentral.